This 20-nucleotide non-coding RNA is filed under the name Arabidopsis thaliana (thale cress). The record is from RNAcentral. Lineage: Eukaryota; Viridiplantae; Streptophyta; Magnoliopsida; Brassicales; Brassicaceae.
UUCAAGAUGUAUGGUCAAUG